RNAcentral lists this unclassified non-coding RNA (322 nucleotides) under soil metagenome. RNAcentral's name for it is "partial contains 5.8S ribosomal RNA, internal transcribed spacer 2, and large subunit ribosomal RNA". The stretch from base 1 to 120 matches the Rfam family "5.8S ribosomal RNA", at positions 35 to 154 of the family's 154-position model. The record is from RNAcentral.
GAUGAAGAACGUAGCGAAAUGCGAUAAGUAAUGUGAAUUGCAGAAUUCAGUGAAUCAUCGAAUCUUUGAUCGCACAUUGCGCCCUUUGGCAUUCCGAAGGGCACACCUGUCCGAGCGCCGUCGCACAACUGAGGCGCAGCCUUGCGUUGGCGGGCGACUUGUGAGUAGCGAGUCGCCGCCCAAACGAGACGGCGCCGCGCCGCGGCCGACGAAGCACGAAAGCGGAAGUCGACGCGGAGGCGGUUGCCUGUAGGAAGACACAGCUUGGCCUCGGAUCAGGUGGGGAUACCCGCUGAACUUAAGCAUAUCAAUAAGCGGAGGA